Molecule: long non-coding RNA, 232 nt
Filed under: Elaeis guineensis (African oil palm)
Lineage: Eukaryota; Viridiplantae; Streptophyta; Magnoliopsida; Arecales; Arecaceae
Description: long non-coding RNA (EGUI_LNC033498)
Source: RNAcentral
AUGAAGAUAUCGGAUAUGGCCGAGAAACUUUCGUCUGUCGGCCGAAGAUCAAAUAGAAAUCCUAAAUCAAGAAGAGUAGGGGUGGACAUUCCAUGGUUAAAGUGAAAAGUAUUCAUAGAAGAUGACCAAAAGCAUAAAGCAGCCAGUAGUGGAGGCAAUUUUAUGUCAUUUGGAAGGUGGAGAAUUCUAUGAGAUUUGAAAAACUAUUUCAUUCCCAAUAUGUACCUUUUGA